AGAGUUUGAUCCUGGCUCAGGAUGAACGCUAGCGGCAGGCUUAACACAUGCAAGUCGAGGGGCAGCGCGUUGUAGCAAUACGAUGGCGGCGACCGGCGAAAGGGUGCGUAACGCGUGAGCAACCUGCCCGUAUCCGGGACAUAAGCGGUGGAAACGCCGUCUAAUUUCCCAUAACAACGAGGGCCGCAUGGUCCAUGUUUGAAAGAUGCGUCGGAUACGGAUGGGCUCGCGAGACAUUAGCUAGUCGGCGUGGUAACGGCACACCGAGGCGACGAUGUCUAGGGGUUCUGAGAGGAAGGUCCCCCACACUGGAACUGAGACACGGCCCAAACUCCUACGGGAGGCAGCAGUGGGGAAUAUUGCACAAUGGGGGGAACCCUGAUGCAGCGACGCCGCGUGGGUGAGGAAGUAUUUCGGUAUGUAAAGCCCUAUCAGCAGGGAAGAAAAAGACGGUACCUGACUAAGAAGCACCGGCUAAAUACGUGCC
This 487-nucleotide ribosomal RNA is filed under the name uncultured organism. RNAcentral's name for it is "SSU rRNA". It matches the Rfam family "Bacterial small subunit ribosomal RNA", at positions 8 to 509 of the family's 1533-position model. The record is from RNAcentral.